GCAUCGUCGCCCCCGCAAGGUUCCCCGACGUAUGAGAUCCGAGGGGAUGAAAUGGGAAUGCGGUGAAGGCGACCCAAUCCGGGGCCCGAGACCGCAGCCGCCCCCGCGACUGUGAGCGGAGAGCGACGCGCCGAGAUGCCACUGGCCCCGCGACGGGGUUCGGGAAGGCGGCGCCGAGCAUCGACCCGCGAGCCAGGAGACCAGCCCUGCACCGUCCUUCUGG
Molecule: non-coding RNA, 223 nt
Filed under: Jannaschia seosinensis
Lineage: Bacteria; Pseudomonadati; Pseudomonadota; Alphaproteobacteria; Rhodobacterales; Roseobacteraceae
Source: RNAcentral